Molecule: ribosomal RNA, 399 nt
Filed under: uncultured bacterium
Lineage: Bacteria
Description: bacterial SSU rRNA
Rfam family: Bacterial small subunit ribosomal RNA
Source: RNAcentral
GACGAACGCUGGCGGCGUGCUUAACACAUGCAAGUCGUGCGGUAAGGCCCUGCUUUGGUGGGGUACACGAGCGGCGAACGGGUGAGUAACACGUGGGUGACCUGCCUUCAGCUUUGGGAUAAGCCUGGGAAACUGGGUCUAAUACCGGAUAUGACCUUGGGGUGCAUGCCUUGGGGUGGAAAGCCUGUGUUGUUUGGCAUGGGUGGCUGGGGAUGGGCCCGCGGUCUAUCAGCNGUUGGUGGGGUGAUGGCCUACCAAGGCGACGACGGGUAGCCGGCCUGAGAGGGCGUUCGGCCACACUGGGACUGAGACACGGCCCAGACUCCUACGGGAGGCAGCAGUGGGGAAUAUUGCGCAAGUGGGCGGAAGCCUGACGCAGCGACGCCGCGGUGGGGGAGU